CAGUCGCCGCGGGAAUACGUAGGGUGCGAGCGUUAAUCGGAAUUACUGGGCGUAAAGCGUGCGCAGACGGUUUUGUAAGACAGGCGUGAAAUCCCCGGGCUCAACCUGGGAAUGGCGCUUGUGACUGCAAAGCUAGAGUGCGGCAGAGGGGGAUGGAAUUCCGCGUGUAGCAGUGAAAUGCGUAGAUAUGCGGAGGAACACCGAUGGCGAAAGCACUCUGCUGGGCCGACACUGACACUGAGAGACGAAAGCUAGGGGAGCAAAUGGGAUUAGAGACCCCCGUAGUCCCUGUCUCUUAUAC
Molecule: ribosomal RNA, 301 nt
Filed under: uncultured bacterium
Lineage: Bacteria
Description: partial 16S ribosomal RNA
Rfam family: Bacterial small subunit ribosomal RNA
Source: RNAcentral